ACUCUUCCGACAUUCCACACGGUCGUGAGUAUCACCCGCGACGGAUUCCUCCCGAGUCUAUCCACAGCUCCAAGUCUAACAAUUCCACAUCAUAUUCCCUUGCUCCGAGUUCAUCCUUAUUCACAAGUUCUCAGCAUUCAGCCGGAUCAAAUCCAAACCUCCACGUCCAAAGAACAGAACCGUGGCCUAUUCCUAGUUGAAUAAAAACUUCAAACGCUCCUUCCAGAUCAUCUCCCAGCAUCCCAUCUCCUCCCACAACCGGUUAUUCAGCGAUUCAUCUUCAUCUUCUGAACCAACCCAUCCUCUUCUCCGAAUCACAUCCAACAUCUUCCCAGAUUUCUUCUCCGCCAUAUCCAGCCAACGGCAACACGUUCCAGCUCCCCUGUUCGUGAUCUAUCUUCAUCCCGUAUCCAAACAAAAUCCCUUGCUCCCAGCUGCUUCAUCCUCCCGAACUCUGUGUUCAUCUUCCAGCCUUGCAUCCGUUCCCAGCU
Molecule: long non-coding RNA, 491 nt
Filed under: Phoenix dactylifera (date palm)
Lineage: Eukaryota; Viridiplantae; Streptophyta; Magnoliopsida; Arecales; Arecaceae
Description: long non-coding RNA (PDAC_LNC017838)
Source: RNAcentral